UACGAAGGGGGCUAGCGUUGCUCGGAAUCACUGGGCGUAAAGGGUGCGUAGGCGGGUCUUUAAGUCAGGGGUGAAAUCCUGGAGCUCAACUCCAGAACUGACCUUUGAUACUGAGGAUCUUGAGUUCGGGAGAGGUGAGUGGAACUGCGAGUGUAGAGGUGAAAUUCGUAGAUAUUCGCAAGAACACCAGUGGCGAAGGCGGCUCACUGGCCCGAUACUGACGCUGAGGCACGAAAGCGUGGGGAGCAAACAGG
This 254-nucleotide ribosomal RNA is filed under the name uncultured bacterium. RNAcentral describes it as "partial 16S ribosomal RNA". It matches the Rfam family "Bacterial small subunit ribosomal RNA", at positions 524 to 776 of the family's 1533-position model. The record is from RNAcentral.